GACGAACGCUGGCGGCGUGCUUAACACAUGCAAGUCGAACGGAAAGGCCCUGCUUUUUUGGGGUGCUCGAGUGGCGAACUGGUGAGUAACACGUGAGUAACCUGUCCUUGACUUUGGGAUAACUUCAUGAAACUGGGUCUAAUACCGGAUAGGAUCUCCUGCUGCAUGGUGGGGGUGGGAAAGUUUCGGCGGUUGGUGAUGGACUCGCGUCUUAUCAGAUUGUUGGUUGGGUAGUGGAUUACCAAGGCUUUGACGGGUAGCCGGCCUGAGAGGGUGACCGGCCACGUUGGGACUGAGAUGAGGCACAGACUCCUACGGGAGGCAGCAGAGGGGAAUAUUGCACAAUGGGCGGAAGCCUGAUGCAGCACAGCAGCGUGCGGGAAGACGUCAUUCGGGUUGUAAACCGCUUUCGCCUGUGCCGAAGCGUGAGUGACAGUAAUGGGUAAAGAAGCACCGGCUAACUCCGUG
This 468-nucleotide ribosomal RNA is filed under the name uncultured bacterium. RNAcentral describes it as "partial 16S ribosomal RNA". It matches the Rfam family "Bacterial small subunit ribosomal RNA", at positions 28 to 507 of the family's 1533-position model. The record is from RNAcentral.